This 1258-nucleotide long non-coding RNA is filed under the name Cyanistes caeruleus (blue tit). RNAcentral describes it as "lncRNA (ENSCCEG00000016857.1)". Lineage: Eukaryota; Metazoa; Chordata; Aves; Passeriformes; Paridae. The record is from RNAcentral.
AGCCGAGCCGAGCCGAGCCGAGCCGAGGCCGUGGCCGCUCCGCCGCUGCCCUCUAGCGGUGGCGGCCCGCUCAGCCGCUCUCCGCCCCGCGGGUUCGGGCCUGGCUCUCCGGGGCUGUCCGUGGGCGAGCGCAGCCCCUUGGAAAGAUUAAUCCACGUUUGCGUGGAAUACUUUAAAGCUGUCUGCAGUGAUCCCAUGGAUUCUCCACACACUGUGCAGCUGAGGGCUGCAUCAUCCCAUCCCAUCAGCAGUCCUGGGAGCCAUAGCAUGGGAGCUGGCCAGCAGGUACAUGGAUGUGGGAGGCACAGACAUGUGACUUCCCUGUUGCCUUAUUCAUGAGAGAUCUAUUUCUGCAAAGUCAUUGUAAAUCACCAUCAUUCUGCUCUGGUUUGAUAUCCUACUGCCCUGAUUUGGAGUGCUGUCACACCUAACUAAAGCUAGGUGGGUAAAAAAAGAUGGGGCUUCAAGUGCAGCUAAACAUCUUAAAUCCAUGCUGGGGCCAGAUCUUAAGCUGCUGUAUUUCAGCAAGGAUGUUAUUCUAUAUCUGCUGAAGACAUAGCUUCUGGUUUUUGAUUAGCCAGAAAAUAGCUUUCAAAAAAGCCUGGGAAUAUAAUAUGCUGGGAAUUCUUCACAGACUGUUUUUCCAUUAGAACUGGCUGCCAGCCUGCUUAGGAGACUGUCUGACAUCAGGUACUUUCCUAGGAAGUCUCUAUUAUCUGAUACUGGUAUUAUUUUUGUGCCAAUGAUUGAAUUAAACUAUUCUGUUCUUAUUUCAAAAUGAAACCAUUCUAAUGUAAAAGCCCUGGAUGGAUAAUAUCCUUUAAUUCAGCUGGCCAAAGACACUUCUUUUGUUUUAAACAAAUUAACCUAAAAUUGAAAUGAAAGUUUUGACAGUCAAGAAAGUGUAGUCCAAAACAGCUCACAAGUUACAAAGAGCUAAUCAGGCAGAUGUCUGAGACAGUGGAAGUAAAUACUGAUCUCAUUCACGCUGCUCUGAACUGAAAGCUACAUGAUGAAAAUCCUGGGAACCCCUUAGAUCAGCUCCAGGCUGAGCUCAUCAUCACCAGCUAUGGAAUAGCAGCAUUUGGCUGCAAAUUAAAUAUCAGGUCACCCUGAUAAAAGCACCCUGUCUAACUGCAGCAGGGACUUCAGCAGCAAGAAGUAUUUGGGGAUUGUGUUUUGUCACUGACCAAAGUUGAGGGUGACUGAUGAGGUGUUAGGCUGAGACGCCUCAAAGGAGCUGAUUUUUGGAAAUCCU